RNAcentral lists this non-coding RNA (55 nucleotides) under unclassified sequences. The record is from RNAcentral.
CAUUUGCUUGUUGAAAUGCCUUGACGUGGCGCAAAUGCUUUAAACUAAAAUUUCA